CUUUCAAGGUGACGAUGUGCCAGGAGUGGAGCAAGAAUGGGCAUUGCCAGAGAAGCUAGAACGAAGCGGACGGAGUCACUGAUGAGGCUGACGGGUUAGGAUGAGACCUUUAUUUCUGUGAGGCCCGGUUGCCUUGUGUUGGAGCUCUAACUGCGUUUUCUUAGAUCCCGUAUUUGCCCGUUUGGCACCCAUUACUCACAGAGCCAAGCGAACAGCGAAGGUUGUUUAUGUCUCCCCUGUGACGCGGCUUUUAUGGGCAUACAAAAAUUACAUUACAAAUCCUCCAACCAAUCCUGAUCAACAUCCCCAACCACCUCCUUUGUCUCUCUCAUACACACACACACACCAAACCAAUAUUUGCUCUGCACUAAAUCACCCCAGGACCAGGUAACGAUCAUCUUAAUGCGCACAGCUUGCCAACAUUAUUCAAACUAUCCAGUCCUAAGCGGCUUACCCUCUCCGUGUCUCUCCUACAGAAACUCUGAUAAACACUCUGAGCCCUGCUCUCUUCUUUGCCCUUUCUGCCCUUGGCUGGCCUGGGGCUUCCCCAUGUGAGCCUGGAGAGUGUACCGUGACUCCUGCUUCUAGGGACCGGUGACAAUCAUUUUUUCAUGGCAAUCAUUCUGCAGUCUGCACGUCUCACCACACUUGAUUAGACCAGUUCUGGCCACAGAUUUUAGAACAGUAAAGUGUCAGUAUUUUUUUCGAAGCGUAAUGAUGAAAACUUGGGUCUGCCUGGAUGUUAGGAACCACAGUGUUAGGUUUGGAGGCGCUUCCCAGCAUUUAAAUUCUUUAAAUAUCUUGGGAAUGUCCCCACCAUGAAGGUUCCACAUAGAACAGCGGUUCUCAACCUGUGGGUCGCGAUCCCUUUGGGGGUCGAACGACCCUUUCACAGGGGUCGCCUAAGACCAUAGGAAAACACAUAUAAUUACAUAUUGUUUUUGUGAUUAAUCACUAUGCUUUAAUUAUGUUCAAUUUGUAACAAUGAAAAUACAUCCUGCAGAUCAGAUAUUUAUAUUACAAUUCAUAACAGUAGCAACAUUACAGUUAUGAAGUAGCAAGGAAAAUAAUUUUAUGGUUGGGAGUCACCACAACAUGAGGAACUGUAUUAAAGGGUCACGGCAUUAGGAAGGCUGAGAACCACUGACAUAGAAGCUCAAAACACCAGAUCCUGCUUCCUCUGCCUUCCUUCCAUCUAACUCAUGGGCACAUGACUAACCAGAUGUGUCUGUCCUGGCCUUUGCAUAGGGAGCUAGUGACACGAGAAAGCAGGGAGGGAGGGGAAUUAGCCUGGCAGCAGCGUAGCGGCAGCAUCAGGAAUGGCUGGUUCCCAGGCACAGCAGCACCAGCAGCACCAGCCACAGUACAGGCUGUGCCUCCGGGUCUGCGGCCGCAGGGCCCCCGGGCAGGUGGCGGUCCUGAUCUUGGCUCCAGUCUGGCGGAUGCUUCCCUGCUCUCACCUGUGCCCCACGCAGGUUCUCCAGAUUUCUAAGUGUUUCUGUGAACUGCCCACCAUCCUUGGAUAAAGUCAUUUGCUGCUUCCAAGUAAAUCACUAGGCUUUUAGUGCUUAUAAUCAGGAACCCUGAUUGAUACAUCCUAUGAUUAUUUUCUUUCUUGCCUCAUUUCUGUCUCUUUUCCUUAUUUCCUUCCUUCCUUCCUCCUGUCUUCCUGUCUUUCUCUCUGGAGAAUGUAUGUAUUAAAUACUUAUAUAAUUUUAAAUAUAUACACACACACACUAUAUAUAUGUAUAUAUAUAUAUAUGUAUAUAUAUUGAUAUAUAUAUAUGUUGAUAUAUAUAUCAAGAUGAAAGUAAAUAUGGUGAAAUACUAACAUUUGCUAAUUAUGGGUAAUGGGAAUAUGGGUAUUGUUAUCAUUUUUUAUUUUAAGUACUUAAAUUUUCUCAAAAGAUAAUAGCAAUAUGCACAUGUGUAAAUGUAUGCAGAGAGGGUGCUAUUCCACUGUUCUAAGCCUUUUAUUCAUACUAACUCCUUGACUCCUCAAACAAACAUCCUCCUGUUACAUAUGAGGGAAAUGGGGCACCGACAACUUAAGAGACCUGCCCCAAAUCACAAAGCCGGAAACCAAUCCCUGGCAGUCAUGUCCGAGGCUGCCCUUUGCUUUCACAAAAUAAGGGAUGAAAUAGCAAGUAGCUUAAGGGAGAGGCAGAAGGCAAAGAGUGUUUUCAGGAUGGAAGAUGAACUUACUCAUGGGCUGAGGGGGAGGAGAAGGGGAAGACCUGAGGACACCUGGGGACAGUUAAUAGAUGGGGCACUGUCGAGGCCGCAGGUGCUAACUGUGCCUGCAGGGGAGGAGGAGCAGACCCCCGGUUUGAUGCCAGAAGGAAGGAUGCCAGAGGCCUGUUGGCGGUUGGGAGGAGGAUGACCUUGCUUCUCUGAGAAAUGGAAGGCAAGGUCACCCGCCAGGAGGCUGAGAGGUGGCAGGCCAACCGGGUGGUAGCAGGAGAGACCUGGUGUUCCCACAGGAGGCUGGCUGGGGGAGACAGGGCUCCAGGGGAGAAGGGCAAGGAGAGAACUGUAGGCUGGCUGUCCAGCGACUCCAUCCUUUUUCACUCAAAACCACACUGCUCUGUGGACCCACAGACCCAGGACUGAGCAGAUUCCCCACCUGAGGGUGGGUCAGGGCCCAGGCAGGGAUCCAGGGACACGGGGUCCUUCGGAGCAAAGAGCAAAGCAUCCUAGUAACUGGACAAGAGAAAGCAAAUCUGUUGUCUGUCCCCACUGGACACAGACUGAAUAGUCACAGGCUCCGCCUCCUCCCCUCCAGAGAGGGUGUGUGUGUGUGUGUGUGUGUGUGUGUGUGUGUGUGUGUGUGUGAGAGAGAGAGAGAGAGAGAGAGAGAGAGAGAGAGAGAGAGAGGAUGAGAGCGAGAGUGUGUGUGCUUGCCAAGCCAGCAGUCCCUCCUGUGGACGGGUUUGCCUUUUACCUACAGAAGCCUUUGUGUGGAGCUCUCCACGCCCUCUCAGUAGCACCUGCCUGAGGCUUCCCUGGCUGCUGGGGCUGGGAGCCCCGGGCAGACCGACCUGUCUGCAGAACUUGUCCGGCCCUCCCCGGGAGGCCAGCCGGACUCUCAGAGUCAGGUCUUCCUCGUCAGCCUCUGAGUGACCACGAAAUGAAGGCACCCAGCUCUGCUCUGCACCUGCCUCUCUGCUUUGGGGGACUUUUGUCAGCUGACCAGGAUCUCCAAGCCAGGCUGGUUCUCCGCAUUCUUUGAAUGGCCGGUCUUCUUCUGUGGCCACAGUGCAUUUGAUUGGAAGGAGGAGUGAGUGAAGUUGCACAUAGAAGGACCUCCUACAACCUUGGAUUUAGUGUUCUCAUCAGGACCACCCACGCUCAGCUCUCUGUCCCCAAUGCCUGGAACAUUGUUGGCCCCAUAACAGUUGCAGGAGAGGAAAGAUGAAUGAUUAAAUGAAAGAAUGAGUCAUUGGAUUAUCGGAACAAGUGUUCCAUGGUCUUGUUCUCUAAACUAAGGCCUAAGUCUUGGUCUCCUUCAGACUCUUCAGUCUUUAUCCAGCUGGCACACAUGGUCAACAGACGGUGCCAUGGGGUUUUUUGUGCCCUGAUAACCAUGGAGCACUGGGUCCCUGACCCAACCCUCUGCAGCUGCCAGGAGCUUUGUGGGCACGAUCCCAUCUGCUCGCUGCCCCAUCUGGAGAGGUGGUCAGGGCAGAGAGUGUGCCAUCUUUCUCUUCUAGAUAAGACAAAAUGCCAGCGGGUCGAACGCCCUGCACAAGGCUGCUCAGCAGGUGGUGGGGCCAAGACUCAAAGGCACACUUACAAACUCCUCUCCUGCAGGGAGGACGGGAGGGUGGGGUGACAGGUUGAGGAGAAAUGAAGCACCAGUGAUGGAACCCUACUCCAAGAGUUGGGACUGAAUGGCCUGGGGGCAUGAGGAUGAGCCAGAUGGAACGGGUUUUAUGACUCCAUUAAUAAUAAUUCUGAUCGCCACCUGAACUCGGUGGUGACACCAUUAAAGGACCUCCAGCCGUAUCCUUUUUGUUUUUCUUUUUAAAUUGCAGUAAAAUAUAGAUAAUAUAAAAUUUACCAUUAGUGACAUUUGGUACAUUCACAAUGUUGUACAAGUUGUCACCCCUAUCUAGUUCCAGAACAUUCUCAUCAUCCUAAAAGGAAACCCUGGUGCCUACUAUUUGUAUUGAGAGUCAGAUAAUAUACUGAGGACCUGGCCAGAGCCUAACACAUCGAUACGAACAAGAUAUGCCUGAAUGUAAGACAACCCCAGUCUCCCAAUGAGGAAAGUUUUGUUUUUUUUAAACACCAACUUGAAUAUGUAAACUUUUUAGGGUAAUAUUCAUAUAUUUUCCAGUGACACAUGUUUCCAUUCACACGCUAUAUAAAAUAAUACAUUCACUUAAAAACACCGCUUUCCCCCAACUCUCCACAUUCGCUCACAUCUUUGACGUCAGUGUCCUCCUUAUGACCAGAAGCACUUUUUGAACCAGCUGCCUGCAACCUGGUUUAUAGUAUCGUCUCCACAGUGCAAACAGAGUUGGCUAUUUCUUAUCAUUCCAGAAGAUGUUUAAGCAUUUUUUAAAUAACAGCUUCUUUGAGAUAAA
Long non-coding RNA from Myotis daubentonii (Daubenton's bat), 4592 nucleotides. RefSeq lists it as uncharacterized. NCBI's taxonomy places the organism in Eukaryota, Metazoa, Chordata, Mammalia, Chiroptera, Vespertilionidae. The record is from RefSeq and is a predicted model, not a curated record. The transcript has 3 exons.